Molecule: ribosomal RNA, 521 nt
Filed under: Phycisphaerales bacterium
Lineage: Bacteria; Pseudomonadati; Planctomycetota; Phycisphaerae; Phycisphaerales
Description: bacterial SSU rRNA
Rfam family: Bacterial small subunit ribosomal RNA
Source: RNAcentral
UAAGUGAAGAGUUUGAUCCUGGCUCAGAACGAACGCUGGCGGCGUGGCUAAAGCAUGCAAGUCGAACGGACCCCUUGAAGAGUAAUCCGAUUGGGAGUUAGUGGCGAACGGGUGAGGAAUACAUGGAUAACGUGCCCCGAACUCUGGGAUAGCGGCGGAACUUCGGUUCCUUUGCGAAAGUGCCGGUAAUACCAGAUGACCCCGUGCGGUCUCAUGAUCGUGCGGGCAAAGUUCAGGCGGUUUGGGAGCGGUCCAUGUCCUAUCAGCUUGUUGGUGGGGUAAAGGCCUACCAAGGCAACGACGGGUAUCGGGUGUGAGAGCACGACCCGACACAUCGGGACUGAGACACUGCCCGGACACCUACGGGUGGCUGCAGCAACGAAUAUUCCGCAAUGGGCGCAAGCCUGACGGAGCGACGCCGCGUGCAGGACGAAGUCUUUCGGGAUGUAAACUGCUGUCAGGGGCUAGAAAUACAUUGAUCAGCCCCAAAGGAAGCAUCGGCUAACUCCGUGCCAGCAGCC